GAUGAAGAACGUAGCGAAAUGCGAUAAGUAGUGUGAAUUGCAGAAUUCAGUGAAUCAUCGAAUCUUUGAACGCACAUUGCGCCCCUUGGUAUUCCAUGGGGCAUGCCUGUUCGAGCGUCAUUUGUACCUUCAAGCUCUGCUUGGUGUUGGGUGUUUUGUCUCGCCUCUGCGUGUAGACUCGCCUUAAAACAAUUGGCAGCCGGCGUAUUGAUUUCGGAGCGCAGUACAUCUCGCGCUUUGCACUCAUAACGGCGACGUCCAAAAGUACAUUUUUACACUCUUGACCUCGGAUCAGGUAGGGAUACCCGCUGAACUUAAGCAUAUCAAUAAGCGGAGGA
Molecule: unclassified non-coding RNA, 338 nt
Filed under: soil metagenome
Description: partial contains 5.8S ribosomal RNA, internal transcribed spacer 2, and large subunit ribosomal RNA
Rfam family: 5.8S ribosomal RNA (bases 1-120)
Source: RNAcentral